UCGAUGAACCCGAUGUUGGAAGAAACAAUGCCCAGUAGUUGGUGGCGUUUGUUUCAACAGAGCCUGUUUUUUUCUCUCUAUAUAUUUUCAACAUAUCUCAAUCUCAUCACAUCAACCAUUUGCAGUUUUCACAGUUUUUUCUCCGACGAGAUCACUGCUUAACUGCAUCUGAAUCAUUUUCUGCUUUCUUUUACGACAUAAAAAUUCACAUGAUUCUGAUGUCUCUGAAGCUGUGUUCAUUGUGGUCAUUGGUGAAGCUGGGAACAGCACUGCUGCGUCAACCUACACCAACUUUGACAACGAUUUUGCACUCCGCCAAUUUGCUUCCCCGCAACCUUAACUUGGAUCGAUUUGUGCGACGUGAGUUUCUUCAUCGAGAAAACCAUUUCUUCCAUUUUCUCACCACUGUGCUGAGGUUUGUCUGGUAGAUACCAUACCAGCAAUGAAUGUGUCGGGUUCAGGUGUUUCAAUUUGAAGGAACCAUUUUUAUACUUUUGGAGACACUCCAUGUGGUGGCUAGAACAUGUCUCAAAUGCAGAACUUUUUUAGGUAGCAUUUUCUUUCACAGAUUCAUCUGUUAUCUCUUACACCAAGUUGAUUCAUCUUGGAAAAAGUAGCAAUAGAUUUGGAUGUUGAGUUAAAGAUUCAAGUAUGUUGUAGGUGUAAUACUUUUUUAUAUGAAAAAUAAUACUUUUUCACGUAAUUUUUUUUAUAUUAA
Vigna angularis (adzuki bean) is the source of this 718-nucleotide long non-coding RNA. RefSeq lists it as uncharacterized. The transcript has 2 exons. The record is from RefSeq and is a predicted model, not a curated record. NCBI's taxonomy places the organism in Eukaryota, Viridiplantae, Streptophyta, Magnoliopsida, Fabales, Fabaceae.